This 380-nucleotide ribosomal RNA is filed under the name uncultured eukaryote. RNAcentral's name for it is "partial 18S ribosomal RNA". It matches the Rfam family "Eukaryotic small subunit ribosomal RNA", at positions 592 to 976 of the family's 1831-position model. The record is from RNAcentral.
CAAUAGCGUAUAUUAAAGUUGUUGCAGUUAAAAAGCUCGUAGUUGGAUUUGUGGCGUACGGUGGGUUCCGGGCACUUGUUGUCUGAGUAACUUGCUGUUGCCAUCCUUGGGUGGAACCUGUGUGGCAUUAGGUUGUCGUGCAGGGGAUGCCCAUCAUUUACUGUGAAAAAAUUAGAGUGUUCAAAGCAGGCUUAUGCCGUUGAAUAUAUUAGCAUGGAAUAAUGAGAUAGGACUUUUUUGCUAUUUUGUUGGUUUGCGCAAAGAGGUAAUGAUUAAUAGGGACAGUUGGGGGUAUUCGUAUUCCAUUGUCAGAGGUGAAAUUCUUGGAUUUUUGGAAGACAAACUACUGCGAAAGCAUUUACCAAGGAUGUUUUCAUUAA